Molecule: long non-coding RNA, 4396 nt
Organism: Phyllopteryx taeniolatus (common seadragon)
Lineage: Eukaryota; Metazoa; Chordata; Actinopteri; Syngnathiformes; Syngnathidae
Exons: 2
Source: RefSeq, a predicted model, not a curated record
UUAAGAUCGUGACAAAAAAAGGUCAUUCAGAAAGAAAGUGGGAUCUGAUAAUGUGCACCCUUCAUAUCAAAGUGAUUUGCUCUGGAUGCUUUCACAGCUUUCGUGUCAAGUCUUGGUCAAAUGUUGUCCAGAAUUUCAUGCAUUCUUUGCAAUGUUCCCUCACGAGGGCACUUAACUGAGUAUUUCAUGAUUUGAUGCCCACUUUUUCCCCAUGGACAAAAUGUCUUUCCAACCAAGACUCAUGAUUUGCAAACAUGCACAAUCUCAGAUAUUCUUAAAUGGACAAAAGUGGUUUUGUUGACAAGUAGGGCAUGGGACAAGACGAAUUAUAAUGCACAUCAAGGCAAUAGUUUGACUUCCAGCGUUUUUGAUGAACUUCUUAAAGAUUAAUGGAAGAAUACCUUUUCUCCAUAGAUAUAAUCUGUUUACUGAUACUCAACUGCAAUGAUUGUCCUGGCUUUAUUGGGGGCAAGACACUUAUUAGAGCAGUGCUUCCCAAACAUUUUUUGCAGCGCCCCCCUUUUGGAGAUGGGCUUGCUUUGUGCUGCAGAUGUUUUCUAAUCGUGGACACAACUAUGAGACAGCUACUUGAAGUUAAUUUUCAAUGUCCAGCUUUGACCUGUAUUUGGUCUUGAUUGAGGCAACUGCAAAAAACCCGAUCUCGCACAAGUAGGAUGUGGCGAAAGGCAGCAGUCUGGCCAUGGGUCUCCUGCCAAGCAGUGAGUAGUAGUCGAGAAGGAUUUCAGGUUCUCAAAGGAAUCUAUAUUCUGCUCCCACAUUUCUAGUUUUCUAGUAAAUGAAAACACCAGGUGUGGAAGGUGUGUGUUGGUACCCUGGAUCUGCAGAUUUAGUUCAAUGAGUUUUUGAAAGAUGUCACUGAGGUAUGCGAGUUUCAUGACAAAGUUGUUGUCUCGAAACUUGUGGUUAAGAUCAUUACCCUCCUCCUCCAAGAAUACUCGGAUCUCAUGCCGCAGUUCAAACACCCGGGAUAAAACUUUACCCCGUGACAGCCACCGAGACUCGCUGUGGAACAAAACUGCUGUGUGAUCAGAGCCCAUUUCGUCACAAAGUGCGGCAAAAAUCCGGGCUUUGAAGGGUUUUGUUUUAAUGUAGUUGACUUUGGCAAUGAUGUUCGCCAUUACAUCGCUCAGUUGUUUGGACGCGAGCACUUCUCUAUGGAUAAUACAGUGAGUCCACUGCGCAUCAGGAGCAACUUGCUUGACAAGCGCUUGCAGGCCUCCUCGUUUCCCAGCCAUUGCCUGAGCCCCAUCUGUGCAGAUCCCCGCACAGUCCUUCCAGUUCAGAUCAGCCUUCUUCAGGAGAGACUUGCUAAGAAUCAAGGAGGCUACUCCGGACGUUCUUUCACCAACUCUCGCAAAUCCGCGAAUUUCUUUGCCUGAGUUACUCACCGGAGCAGCGACCGUGGUCUUUGGCGCAUGGAGGCGGAGGCGGCACCGCCACAGAGGGAAGCGAGCCGGCAUCCAGGUGAAGCUCCGCAAGAGAGGAUACAGACUGCCGUUUCCGUCCAUCCACCUCAUGAAUCUACGCUCCCUACCCAACAAAAUUGACGAGCUUCAUCUUCUGAUAAAGACCAGUAAAGACUUCGGACGUUCCGCCGCCAUGUGCUUUACGGAGACUUGGCUUUGUGACGCUGUACCCGUUGGCGGCGUCAUGCUUUCCGGCCUCCAUCUUCACAGGGCAGACCGCGACAUGGAAUCAUCGGGGAAAAUAAAAGGCGGCGUGAUAUGGUUCUAUAUCAACGAAAAAUGUAAGGCCGUCACGGAGCUCAGCACACACUGCAGCCCGCAUUUGGGUUAGGGUUUUUGAAUUGUAAGCCUUUCUACUCGCUUUGCGAGUUCGCAUCAUUCAUUCUGGCUGGUGUAUACAUUCCGCCUCAAGCUACCACAAAUGCCGCACUGCUAACACUCGCCGAACCAGUAAACGAAAUUGGAAAAAAAAAAACCACCCGGACUCACCCCUCAUUAUUCUCGGGGACUUUAACAAAGCUAAACUCAACCACGAACUCCCUAAAUACAAGCAGCACAACGACUGUCCUGUCUUUGAAAAUUCAGCUGACAGCCUGGAUGAAUAUACGGACACUGUCACAUCCUAUAUAAGUUUCUGUGUAGAGGUUUGUGUACCAAAAAAGUCAUUUCGCACUUUCAACAACAACAAGCCGUGGUUCACUGCCAAACUUAAGCAACUUCGCCAAGCUAAGGAGGACGCAUAUCAAAGCGGGGACAGGGCCCUGUAUAAUCGCGCUAGAAACCUGCUGACUAAAGAAAUUAACAUUGCAAAGAGGAACUAUGCAGCAAAGUUGGAAAAACAGUUUAGCGCUAACGACUCUAAAUCAGUCUGGCAUGCAUUACAAUCGCUGACCAAUCACAAGCGACGAUGCCCCCAAGCUGAGAACAAUAGCACACUAGCCGACGACUUCAACGACCUUCCACUGCAGAUUUGAAAAGGACACUUUCACAUCCCACACGGCCGCACCACCGACCACAAUCUGACUUCUGCAUUGACCAUCCAUGAACAGGAUGUGAGACGCAUCUUCAAACAACAAAAGAUUAACAAAGCGACAGGCCCGGACCUUGUGUCCCCAUCCUGCCUCAAAGUCUGCGCGGACCAGCUCGCUCCAGUCUUGACACAGAUGAUCAAUAGAUCUCUGGAACUGUGCGAAGUACCAUCCUGUUUCAAACGCUCCACCAUCAUCCCAGGCCCCAAGAAAACUACAAGGUUGUGUCCUCUUCUCUCUCUACACGAACGACUGCACCUCAACGCACCACUGUUAUCGGCCUCAUCAAGGACGGUGACGAACCUGCAUAUCGACAGGAAGCGGAGCGGCUGGAGCUGUGGUGCGGCCGACACAACCUGGAGCUGAACACGCUCAAGACUGUAGAGAUGAUCGUGGACUUCAGGAGGCAUCCUUCACCACAGCUGCCUUGUCUCAACCGUCGAGACCUUUAAGUUCCUGGGAAUUACAGUCUCUAAGGACUUAAAGUAGGCAAUCAACAUCAACUCUGUCCUCAAAAAGGCCCAGCAGAGGAUGUACUUCCUGCAGCUUCUGAGAAAACACGGCCUGCCACGGGACCUGAUGAAGCAGUUCUACACAGCGGUCAUCGAAUCAGUCCUGUGUUCUUCCAUCACAGUCUGGUUUGGUGCUGCUACAAAAAAAAGGACAAACUCCGACUGCAACGGACAAUCAAAACUGCUGAAAGGAUUGUCCAGUUCCUGUGUUCCAGAUUUACAGGGGAAUCCAAAAUGGAUUAAAACAUCAGAUUUAAAGGUAGAACUCUGUUCACGCUGCUGUUGCUGCCGCGGCGGCUUGCAAACAAGAACAAAAGUUGGCAUUUUGUUGUUGUUUGUUUGCAGCUUCCGUCCAUAUAUGAUUGGAUAUUUUACCCACCCCUAGUGGUGGCCCAUUGAAAUACACUUAUUUUUAUAACAGAGACAAAGGUGCAUAACGGUAAAACUCUUCAAACUCUGCGGAUGUACAGUAAGUGCAUAAAUGGUCCUAACUGCUCAUUAACCCCAUUUCACUUGUCUUUAUACAUUUGUAAAACAUGAAAUAGUUCUGACUCAUUCACAAUUCAUAUUCAUGUCUCAGAAAUAACCCUAUUUAUUAUGCCGUCUGCUAUUUUGUGAAUGCAAAAUGGCUGCCUCAUCCUGGCGCUUCAGCUUCAUAAAGAGACUCUCCGGGGGGGGGGGGGGGGGGGGGGGGUUGAAUAGGACCGUAUGAUGGCUAACAACUAUGAAUAAUUCAAAUACUCAUCAGUCAAAUUAAUUGAUUUUCAAAAGGAAGUUCAGUGUGUGCGCUACUCUUGUUUACAUUUAGACAAACAAAAACAACAGCUUUCAUGAAAACUUUAGAAAACGCCAUACAGUAAAUUGCAGAUGUGUUGUUGUAGUUUUGGCUGUGCAUACACACACACAGCAACGGCAGAAUUUGCACAUACACAUUUUGUAAAAAAUUUUGUAAAAAAAAAAAAAAAUUUCAAUUGAUGUUCAUGCUGUGGUAAGUAAUUAUUGUGUACUUUUUCUUCUUACUCGAGUUAUUUUUUGGAGAAUUACUUUUACUUGUGUCACAUAAUUGUCAAGUAACAGUACUCUCAAUUGAGUACAAUGUUUGGCUACUCUACCCACCUCUGGAGAGGACAUCCAUUGAGGUGCUGCAGUUUAGUCAAUUAUUUUUCCAGAAUGAGAAUUCUUAAAGAGGAGGAUGCUAUUCAUGUGGCACAGCUUGAAGCAGGCCUCAGGUGCUUAAUUUACAAUGUUUUUUCGUCACCUUUUUCAUGCCUUUGGUGUUUGCAUGUCUGAAUGUUUAAUUCUCUUUUGUUUUGUGUGUCAGUUUUCCAGUAAACCAACUGGGAGUGACAAAUAAACAUCUUGAAGCAAG